Molecule: ribosomal RNA, 375 nt
Filed under: Triticum aestivum (bread wheat)
Lineage: Eukaryota; Viridiplantae; Streptophyta; Magnoliopsida; Poales; Poaceae
Description: partial small subunit ribosomal RNA
Source: RNAcentral
AUGUCACCAUCAAUGUCAACAUCUUCUCCAAUUUCUGAAUGUUUUGAAUCGAUUGUGCUGGAAUCAGUUUUACCAUUACAUGAUGUUAUGGAACCAGAUUCAAAUAAAGAGAUCAUAGUUGAAGAGAAAUAUGAUUAUCUACCACAAGACAAUACAUUGACCGAUCAUGAUCUAUGUGCUCAUAUAGCAACAGAGUCAUCUUUCAGAAAACAAUUGUUGGUUCAGAUCGAUGGAACUUCUGUGUUACAAAAUCAGUUGAUGUGUCUGCUAGAUGAAAAAGAGUGGGUAAAUGAUGAUGUGAUCAAUGCAUAUAUAUGUUGUAUGAAGGACCAAAUACAUGUCCAGAAUGACAAUAAAGUAUAUUUGAAGAUAUGA